CUUUUGAGGGCCGCCCCCCGCAGCACACGGACGUUCCCAGGCUGGGCGGCGGUGGGUGGGGUGGGGGGGGGUGGUCGUCCAUCGGAGCCCGAGCUGCCGGCCUCCAGCACAGCCACAGCGACAGGGGAUCCAAGCCGUGUCUGGGGCCCACACCACAGCUCACGGCCCCGCCGGAUCCUUUCCCCUCGGAGUGAGGCCAGGGAUCGAACCCACUUCCUCAGGGAUGUGCGUCAGGCACGUGAACCGCUGAGCCACGCACGACGGGAACUCCGAGAGCCAGGAGACCAUUGGAGGACCGUCCAAAGUCAGCUGAAUUGACGGCGGGGGCGGGGGGUUGUGCACUUGGGCACAGCAGCUGCCCUUUCACCAAGCGCAGGGUCGCAUUCAUUCUUGGAUGUGGUUGCACAGUGUCAAGAACCUCCCGAUUCGCAGAGCUGAGGGGUGACAAGAUUGCCACAGUUUAAAAAAGCCCGCCAAAGCAAACGGGCACAUUCCCCGGCCUGAGGGGCCCCAUCGACGUCCCGGCUCUCAGCCUCGGGGCUGAGGGACUUGCUCUCUCCACCUGUUUCUUCCGCAGCCCUCUCGUACCUGCCCUCAUGCGGACAGGAGGAGAGGUCGCUUCAUCCACCUCCCCAGGGAGCAAAACCGGCAGCAGAAGUUCAAGCCAUCCGUGCACUCGAACACACACACACGCUUGGGCACUGGCUUUUACUAGAGCAUUUAAAGUCAAGUUUUGAAGUUUAAAACAAAUAAGAUUUUCCUGUUGCGGCUCAUCCGAAAUGAAGCCACUGGGUAUCCAUGAGGAUGCAAGUUCCAUCCCUAGCCUGCUCAGUGGGUUAAGGAUGUGGCGUUGCCGUGAGCUGUGGUGGAGGUUGCAGAGGAGGUUUGGAUCCUGUGUGGCUCUGGCUCUGGCUCUGGCUCUGGCCCGCAGCUGUAGCUCCGACUGGACCCCUCGCCUGGGAACCGCCAUAUGCCCCGGGUGCGGCCCUCCAAAGCAAAACAGAAAAAGAAAGAACGAACGAAAGUGAGAAAAGAUACAAAACAGUGAGGGAAAUAGAAGAAAGAUAAGGAGAGCCUGUUGCGGCUCGGCAGCAGUGAACCCACCCGGUAUCCAUGAGGAUGCACGUUCCAACCCUGGCCUUGCUCACUGGCUAAACGAUCCAGUGCUGAUUAGCCCCCGAGCCUGGGAACUUCUACGUGCCUUGCACUGUGGCCCUAAAAAGACAGACAGCAAGACAGAAAGUGACACCGGACAAAAAAGCAAGCAAGCAAGCAAGCAAGCAAGCAAGCAAGCAAGCAAGCAAGCGAGGCCGCCAAAACCAAAUGGGAGGAGGGAGAGAGAUGGCCCAGAUCGCUCCCUCCCCAAACCUUGGGCCGGAAAGCGGGGCCACUCUAACAGGUCCUGUGUGCCUCCUCCCCGGCAGGGGCUGUGGGGUGGUGGCACGGCUGAGGGACAGCGAGGCUUUCCGGACCCUGAUACAGGCUCUGUCCUCCAGCCAGGACCCAGGGCUCCCCCUUGGCAGUCCAGCUCAUCCACGGCUGACAGGAUGGACCCUUCCGGGCCUGUGACACUCACGGCUCCGGGAGGAGGCCAAACAGCCAGGCAAGGCCCCCAGCGGACGAGCGGGUGCUGAGCCGAGUGUGGAGGGUCAGGCAGGGGCAACGAAGGCAGGGAGAAGGGCUCGACGAGAUCCCGCAGGAGCCAGGGUCCCAUGGAGGCCGAGGGGGCGGGGGCAGCUUGGCAGGACCCCCCGGGGGGAGCAGCCCUGGAAGAGGCCUGCUGAGGCGGGUGGCGAGGGUGCCGGCAGGCCCGGAAGGGCAGAAGGAGACCUUUGGGGGUGCGUGCUGCUGGGGGUGGGCCGGGCUCCUCUGGCCUGCCCCACAUCUGGGUUUGGGCCCCCGAAGAGGGCUGCCGUCAUCCCAAGGACCCGGUGAGCUGGAGCGGGGCCCGAGCGGGAACCCAAGGCUGGACCUGGCUUCUGCCCCCAGGGUGGCUCGCCCCUUGCAUUGAAACAAAAGCAAAGCGGGUCCGAGUCCCUCCGAAGGGAAGGAUGAUGUGGAUGGGAUUUGACCGGAUGCUUGUGUGUUGAGGGCCGCACCCGUGGCACAGGGAGGGUCCCAGGCAAACAGAAAUAAAGAAAGCUAAUGCUUAUGAAAUCCAUCAUGGAGAACAACGAAACUUUCCGUGUGUGUGCGCGUGUGUGUGUGUGUGUGUGUGUGUGUGUCUUUUGUCGUCUGACGUUUCAGGGCCAUGUUUCCUCGGCAUGUGGAGAGUCCUGUGCUAGGGGUCCUAUUGCUGGUUGACAUAGUUUUGGAAGUCCUAGCUAGCCAGGGCCCUCAGAGAAGCACAAGACACAAAAGGAGUCCACAUGGGAAAGGAAGAAGUCAAGGGAUCCCUAUCCGCACACGACAUGAUCCUAUCCCCGCAGACCCCUCAAGACGCUCCCAGAAAACGGGUAGAGCGCCUCAGUGAAUGGGGCCAAGUCCCAGGAGGCACCAUGAACGCACAGAAACCGACUGCCUUUCUACACCCUGAGAACGAGAGCUCGGAGACAGACCUCGGGGAAACGAUCCCAUUUGCCGUCACCUCCCAAAGAAGAGACGGCUGAGGAAGAGACCUCCCUAGAGAGACGCAAGGCCCGUCCUGGGAACCCCCCAAGACGCUGAUGCAAGCAAUCCAAGAGGACACAAACUGAUGGCAAGACACACCUUGCUCUUGGAUUGCAAGAGCCUAUAGUAUCCCAAGGACCAUGCUCCCCAAGGCAGUCCGCAGAGUCACCGCCAUCCCUGUCAAAUGCCCAAGACCGCUGUUCACAGCACGAGACCAUGGGGUUGGUGGGGGAGGGGAGCUGGAGCAGCCCAGAGGGACCCUGGGGGAGACACGGGGAAGGAGGAAGGCCCGUUGGGGGGACCCCAGGAAGUGACCUCACUUCCCCGGCGACAGAGGCCAACGGAACUUGGAACCUGGGGAGCCGGGCACCUACUGGUCCAGUCCAGGAGAGGACGGAGGAGGGAUGGACUGGCUCUGCUGCAUCCCGCUCUCCCGAGGCCGAGCCCGAGGCCGAGGCCGCAGGCGUCGUCACGGCAGAGAUGGCCUCUGCCAAGCCUGCAGAACCUGGAUGAGAACGCGAGGCGGACGCCUAUGGGCCGUUGCCCGCAGGGACCCAGAGGUAACACCGGGAGAGGGAGCUCCAGCCAAGGGCAGGGACCUCUCUGAGCCCACACGG
RNAcentral lists this long non-coding RNA (3227 nucleotides) under Sus scrofa (pig). Its description in RNAcentral is "lncRNA (ENSSSCG00000051235.2)". Lineage: Eukaryota; Metazoa; Chordata; Mammalia; Artiodactyla; Suidae. The record is from RNAcentral.